UACGUAGGGGGCAAGCGUUGUCCGGAAUCAUUGGGCGUAAAGCGCGCGUAGGCGGCCCGGUAAGUCCGCUCUGAAAGUCCAGGGCUCAACCCUGGAAAGCGGGUGGAUACUGCCGGGCUAGAAUCCGGAAGAGGCGAGUGGAAUUCCUGGUGUAGCGGUGGAAUGCGCAGAUAUCAGGAGGAACACCGGUGGCGAAGGCGGCUUGCUGGGCCAGUUCUGACGCUGAGGAGCGAAAGCGUGGGGAGCGAACAGG
RNAcentral lists this ribosomal RNA (253 nucleotides) under uncultured bacterium. RNAcentral's name for it is "partial 16S ribosomal RNA". It matches the Rfam family "Bacterial small subunit ribosomal RNA", at positions 524 to 776 of the family's 1533-position model. The record is from RNAcentral.